This 88-nucleotide transfer RNA is filed under the name Hyphomonadaceae bacterium. RNAcentral's name for it is "tRNA-OTHER". It matches the Rfam family "tRNA". Rfam says of the family: Transfer RNA (tRNA) molecules are approximately 80 nucleotides in length. Their secondary structure includes four short double-helical elements and three loops (D, anti-codon, and T loops). Further hydrogen bonds mediate the characteristic L-shaped molecular structure. tRNAs have two regions of fundamental functional importance: the anti-codon, which is responsible for specific mRNA codon recognition, and the 3' end, to which the tRNAs corresponding amino acid is attached (by aminoacyl-tRNA synthetases). tRNAs cope with the degeneracy of the genetic code in two manners: having more than one tRNA (with a specific anti-codon) for a particular amino acid; and 'wobble' base-pairing, i.e. permitting non-standard base-pairing at the 3rd anti-codon position. The record is from RNAcentral. Lineage: Bacteria; Pseudomonadati; Pseudomonadota; Alphaproteobacteria; Hyphomonadales; Hyphomonadaceae.
GGAGAGGUGGCGGAGUGGUCGANNGCCGGUCUCGAAAACCGGAGUACGUGCAAGCGUACCGAGGGUUCGAAUCCCUCCCUCUCCGCCA